GGCUCAGAACGAACACUGGCGGCGUGGAUAAGACAUGCAAGUCGUGCGACAGACCAGGAAUUGAUUACUUCGGUUUGAUUUUCCUGACGAUGAGCGGCGAACGGGUGCGUAACACGUGAGAAAUCUGCCCUUAAGUUCGGAAUAGCCCUACGAAAGUAGAAUUAAUACCGGAUGUGGCCCAGGGAGGGCAUCUUCCCCUGGCUAAAGCUCGGUUAUAGAGCGCUUUUGGAUGAUCUCGCGGUCUAUCAGCUUGUUGGUGAGGUAAUGGCUCACCAAGGCUUUGACGGAUAGCUGGUCUGAGAGGAUGAUCAGCCUCACUGGAACUGAGACACGGUCCAGACACCUACGGGUGGCAGCAGUCGAGAAUCAUUCACAAUGGGCGCAAGCCUGAUGGUGCGACGCCGCGUGGGGGAUGAAGGGCUUCGGUUCGUAAACCCCUGUCAUCUGUGAGUAAGACUCCCAAUAAAAGCUUGGGAGGUUGAUAUUAGCAGAAGAGGAAGGGACGGCUAACUCUGUGCCAGCAGCCGCGGUAAUACAGAGGUCCCAAGCGUUGUUCGGAUUUACUGGGCGUAAAGGGUGCGUAGGCGGCUAGAAAAGUUUGGUGUGAAAUCUUCGGGCUCAACCCGGAAACUGCACUGAAAACUAUCUGGCUAGAGGA
Molecule: ribosomal RNA, 658 nt
Filed under: uncultured bacterium
Lineage: Bacteria
Description: bacterial SSU rRNA
Rfam family: Bacterial small subunit ribosomal RNA
Source: RNAcentral